Molecule: long non-coding RNA, 490 nt
Filed under: Aedes aegypti (yellow fever mosquito)
Lineage: Eukaryota; Metazoa; Arthropoda; Insecta; Diptera; Culicidae
Description: lncRNA AAEL027219
Source: RNAcentral
UUUGAUUUGUACGGCAGGCGUUACCGACGUUAUGAAAUCAGCUCUACACGCUAACUUUGAAGUACCCAUUAAAUGGGUUCCUUGUACCCAUUUUUAUUGCUAGUACUGAGUUGUCAGAAAAAGGGUAUUAUUUUUUAACACUAAAAAGAGUACAUUUUACUCUUCUUGAAGAACGAGUUCCGUCAGUAAAAAAGGGUAAAAAAGCCACUUUUCGCCAUUUGGAGCAACAACAUUGAAGUGUUUUGCCGCAAAUCAUAUUUCGUUAAUUAAUUGAAAGAAUCAUGUACUUAUGAUCAGCGUACCGGCCAUAAAGCAGAACCCUUCAAGGAGCAUUACAAGCGGCAAUUAAAGAGUGGGUUUUCAUCCGGGAUAUGGAAUAGCAAAAUACGGAGCAAGACCCCUGGAUACAGAUGAGAAAGUCAACGCAUUAAAGUUUGAGUUAGCACCUUAGUUAUAAGUAAUCAAAUAAAAAGAUUUCCAUUAAAAUAUA